AGAGUUUGAUCCUGGCUCAGGAUGAACGCUGGCGGCGUGCCUAACACAUGCAAGUCGAACGGACUUAUAACGAAACCUAGUGAAUUAUAAGUUAGUGGCGGACGGGUGAGUAACGCGUGGAAAACCUGCCGUAUACUGGGGGAUAACACUUAGAAAUAGGUGCUAAUACCGCAUAAGCGCACAGCUUCGCAUGAAGCAGUGUGAAAAACUCCGGUGGUAUACGAUGGUUCCGCGUCUGAUUAGCUAGUUGGUGAGGGUAAAAGCCCACCAAGGCGACGAUCAGUAGCCGGCCUGAGAGGGUGAACGGCCACAUUGGGACUGAGACACGGCCCAGACUCCUACGGGAGGCAGCAGUGGGGGAUAUUGCACAAUGGGGGAAACCCUGAUGCAGCGACGCCGCGUGAGUGAAGAAGUAUUUCGGUACGUAAAGCUCUAUCAGCAGGGAAGAAUAAUGACGGUACCUGACUAAGAAGCCCCGGCUAACUACGUGCCAGCAGCCGCGGUAAUACGUAGGGGGCAAGCGUUAUCCGGAUUUACUGGGUGUAAAGGGAGCGUAGACGGCUGUGCAAGUCUGAAGUGAAAUGCCGGGGCUCAACCCCGGAACUGCUUUGGAAACUGUACAGCUAGAGUGCAGGAGGGGUGAGCGGAAUUCCUAGUGUAGCGGUGAAAUGCGUAGAUAUUAGGAGGAACACCGGUGGCGAAGGCGGCUCACUGGACUGUAACUGACGUUGAGGCUCGAAAGCGUGGGGAGCAAACAGAAGGAGAUACCCUGGUAGUCCACGCCGUAAACGACCCUUAUUAGGUGUCGGGGGGCCAAGGCCCUUCGGUGCCGGCGCCAACCCAUUAAAUAAUCCCCCUGGGGGAGUACGUUGCCAAGAAAGAAACUCAAAGGGAAUUGACGGGGGACCCGCACAAGCGGUGGAGCAUGUGGUUUAAUCGGAAGCAACGAGAAGAACCUUACCCGGCCUUGACAUCCCGAUGAAUGUACAGUAAUGUGUACAGGACUUCGGUACAUCGGAGACAGGUGGUGCAUGGUUGUCGUCAGCUCGUGUCGUGAGAUGUUGGGUUAAGUCCCGCAACGAGCGCAACCCCUGCCCUCAGUAGCCAGCAGGUAAAGCUGGGAACUCUGAGGGGACUGCCCGGGAUAACCGGGAGGAAGGCGGGGAUGACGUCAAAUCAUCAUGCCCCUUAUGGCCGGGGCUACACACGUGCUACAAUGGCGGAAACAGAGGGAAGCAGCCCCGUGAGGGUGAGCGAACCCCAAAAAUACCGUCUCAGUUCGGAUUGUAGUCUGCAACCCGACUACAUGAAGCCGGAAUCGCUAGUAAUCGCGAAUCAGAAUGUCGCGGUGAAUACGUUCCCGGGUCUUGCACUCACCGCCCGUCAC
This 1387-nucleotide ribosomal RNA is filed under the name uncultured bacterium. RNAcentral describes it as "bacterial SSU rRNA". It matches the Rfam family "Bacterial small subunit ribosomal RNA". The record is from RNAcentral.